GCGAUCAUCUUACCUGGCAGUGCUGGACUGUACACGUGUAUUCUAACACUGUCUGGUAACGAUGUUUGC
RNAcentral lists this microRNA precursor (69 nucleotides) under Scleropages formosus (Asian bonytongue). Its description in RNAcentral is "mir-8/mir-141/mir-200 microRNA precursor family". It matches the Rfam family "mir-8/mir-141/mir-200 microRNA precursor family". From Rfam's summary of the family: The bounds of the precursors are predicted based on conservation and base pairing and are not generally known. The record is from Rfam by way of RNAcentral. Lineage: Eukaryota; Metazoa; Chordata; Actinopteri; Osteoglossiformes; Osteoglossidae.